RNAcentral lists this ribosomal RNA (253 nucleotides) under uncultured bacterium. RNAcentral's name for it is "partial 16S ribosomal RNA". It matches the Rfam family "Bacterial small subunit ribosomal RNA", at positions 524 to 776 of the family's 1533-position model. The record is from RNAcentral.
UACGUAGGGGGCGAGCGUUGUCCGGAUUUACUGGGCGUAAAGGGCGCGUAGGCGGCCCCGCAAGUCACUUGUGAAAUCUCUGGGCUUAACCCAGAACGGCCAAGUGAAACUGCAGGGCUAGAGUGUAGAAGGGGCAAUCGGAAUUCUUGGUGUAGCGGUGAAAUGCGUAGAUAUCAAGAGGAACACCUGAGGUGAAGACGGGUUGCUGGUCUAACACUGACGCUGAGGCGCGAAAGCCAGGGGAGCAAACGGG